This 505-nucleotide ribosomal RNA is filed under the name uncultured Glomeromycotina. RNAcentral's name for it is "partial small subunit ribosomal RNA". It matches the Rfam family "Eukaryotic small subunit ribosomal RNA", at positions 591 to 1092 of the family's 1831-position model. Lineage: Eukaryota; Fungi; Glomeromycota. The record is from RNAcentral.
CCAAUAGCGUAUAUUAAAGUUGUUGCAGUUAAAAAGCUCGUAGUUGAAUUUCGGGAUUGACACAUCGGUCGUGCCUUAAGGGGUAUGAACUGGUGUAGUCAAUUUCUCACCUUCUGGAGAACCGCAAUGCCCUUAAUUGGGUGUCGCGGGGAACCAGGACCUUUACUUUGAAAAAAUUAGAGUGUUUAAAGCAGGCAUUUUGCUUGAAUACAUUAGCAUGGAAUAAUAAAAUAGGACGGAUGAUUCUAUUUUGUUGGUUUCUAGGACCACCGUAAUGAUUAAUAGGGAUAGUUGGGGGCAUUAGUAUUCAAUUGUCAGAGGUGAAAUUCUUGGAUUUAUUGAAGACUAACUACUGCGAAAGCAUUUGCCAAGGAUGUUUUCAUUAAUCAAGAACGAAAGUUAGGGGAUCGAAGACGAUCAGAUACCGUCGUAGUCUUAACCAUAAACUAUGCCGACUAGGAAUCAGACGAUGUUAAUUUUUUAAUGACUCGUUUGGCACCUUACG